GAUGAAGAACGUAGCGAAAUGCGAUAAGUAGUGUGAAUUGCAGAAUUCAGUGAAUCAUCGAAUCUUUUAACGCACAUUGCGCCCCAUGGUAUUCCGUGGGGCAUGCCUGUUCGAGCGUCAUUUACCCCCUCAAGCUCCGCUUGGUGUUGGGCGUCUGUCCCGCUUCGCGCGCGGACUCGCCCCAAAGGUAUUGGCAGCGGUCGUGCCAGCUUCUCGCGCAGCACAUUGCGCUUCUCGAGGCACCGGUGGGCCCGCGUCCAUCAAGCUCACCCCCCCAGUUUGACCUCGGAUCAGGUAGGGAUACCCGCUGAACUUAAGCAUAUCAAUAAGCGGAGGA
Molecule: unclassified non-coding RNA, 337 nt
Filed under: soil metagenome
Description: partial contains 5.8S ribosomal RNA, internal transcribed spacer 2, and large subunit ribosomal RNA
Rfam family: 5.8S ribosomal RNA (bases 1-120)
Source: RNAcentral